GGCUUCGUGGCUUAGCUGGUUAAAGCGCCUGUCUAGUAAACAGGAAAUCCUGGGUUCGAAUCCCAGCGAGGCCU
RNAcentral lists this transfer RNA (74 nucleotides) under Symphalangus syndactylus (siamang). RNAcentral's name for it is "tRNA-Thr (AGT) (tRNA-Thr-AGT-6-1)". It matches the Rfam family "tRNA". Rfam says of the family: Transfer RNA (tRNA) molecules are approximately 80 nucleotides in length. Their secondary structure includes four short double-helical elements and three loops (D, anti-codon, and T loops). Lineage: Eukaryota; Metazoa; Chordata; Mammalia; Primates; Hylobatidae. RNAcentral also lists the same sequence under 1 other name. The record is from RNAcentral.